CUUCACGGCUAAAUGCUUUUCUGUGUCUCGAACAGCGACGAAGAUAAUUAACCGUUAUAUUCCUGAAACACUGUGUAGCGAAUCGCUGAUAAUAAAAUGUGUGUCGUACUAAAAAUAAACGAAUAGGUAAAAGGAUAAUUUAUUUUAUAUUGCACAGGGUGUAUUGUAACACGUGGGACCCGCUUCAGGACUGGACGGAAGGCACAAAGACAAGGAAGAAAGUUCAUACAAACACGUGCUGCUCUAUCUGAUCUUAUAUAAGUUGCAUUAUUUUAUAUCUUACAUUCAAAGACAUUUUCGUGGUUCGAUAAUCCGUAACUGCUUAUCUUGGUAGAAUGGCUAUGAUGGCUCGAGAUGGCUAUCCUCAGCCAUAUUAUAUAUAGACAUUGAAUAUACAGAUGAAUAUGGAUAUGAAGCCAAGCAGUUGCGAAUUAUCGAAACACAAAAGUGUCUGCAACUUUGAAUCGAGCUUACACGAGACACAUGUUCGUACAAACUUUUUCUAUUGUUCUUUUAUCUCCUGUCCGUUCCUGAAGCAGCUCCCACGUGUUACGAUUUACCCUGUAUAUUAGGUGUACGAAUGAAUAGUCCAAAUUUUUCAGUCUAACUCGAGGUUUAGUUUAAACCAAUACUUUAAGGGCAACUGAUGGAUCCACCAUGGAAAAAUGGAGUGUCUCUAAACAAGAUCCAGUGGUCAAGGCAUUGACAAAGGAGAACCUUCCUAAAGUACCUAAGCGAGUACCUAAAA
Bombus pascuorum is the source of this 748-nucleotide long non-coding RNA. RefSeq lists it as uncharacterized. NCBI's taxonomy places the organism in Eukaryota, Metazoa, Arthropoda, Insecta, Hymenoptera, Apidae. The record is from RefSeq and is a predicted model, not a curated record. The transcript is spliced from 2 exons.